RNAcentral lists this ribosomal RNA (1659 nucleotides) under Triticum aestivum (bread wheat). RNAcentral's name for it is "partial small subunit ribosomal RNA". The record is from RNAcentral. Lineage: Eukaryota; Viridiplantae; Streptophyta; Magnoliopsida; Poales; Poaceae.
AUGCAGAAGAGCCAGGGACCCAAGUCGACGGCGCGGCGGCGCCCCCUGCGCGUCCUCUCCGGCAACCGGACGCCCCACCCGGCGCCGCCCGGAUCCCUCCGCCGCAAGCCCCCCGCCGCCGCGGCCGCUCCCCCCUCCGCCGCCGCCGCCACCGCCGCCGCCGAGCCGGCGCUCGACCGCCUCCUCCUCGCCAGCUCCGCCCUCGGCGGCCUCGUCAACCAGAUUGACAAAUUGGUCUCCAGCGCCCUCCAAUGCCAGACUAUAUCCAGAAGAGGGGAACAAGAGAUAGAAUCCUUCAGUUGCUUCUUGUCAGACACUAAUUCUUCUUUGAAGCUAUGGGCUUCCAGACUUAAGCAAGCGCUUGAAGCUUCGCCAGCCAAAAGUGAAAAUGCCUCAAAGCACACCAUGGAGACCUGUUCAAAAUCUGCUGCAAAAGGGACUGACAAGUUGUUUCCUAGCAACAGCAUCUUACCUCCAGCAGGCCCGGCAGUAUCACCUUCACAAGACUUGGUCUGCAGCAGCAGCAACAACUUACCAGAGACUGACCUGAUUGUCUCGCCUUCACCUCUUGUUUCAUGGCGUACCGGGGCAUGCAUGGUCGACAGUGGGAAGCAGUUAUUUCUCUUGACACCAUUGCCAAAAUCAAAAGCACGCUCAUCCAUGUGCCCAAAAUCAUCAAAAGCACAGUUGACGACAACUGCCAGCAUGGAUGAGCUGAAUCUUCCCAAUUUACCUGUUUGGAAACUAACCAUUUCUGAUGACAGCAGCCCUGAUCUGGAGCAAAGUGUGAAAGGAAAGGAAGCAAGGGCUGGUGUCGCGACACCUCAUCCUAGCAAAGCAAAGAAAAGCUCAUCAGAAGACAAUCUAUUUUCGCCUUUUAGCUUCUCAAUUCAGAAGAGCAGGAGAGCACCACUGCCUACUCCAUGCCCGAAGACAGCAUUGCGAGGUAAGCAACAUGUGUUCUCACCGAUAUCGGAGGGCUCAAGUAAGGAUGACAUUCUCAGUGCUGGACCGGUUGAGAGUGACAAACCACCAUCUGGAGGCUCUGAUGAGAUGCUGUCUGAUGAGAAGGAUCUGGCAUCAAGAUAUCCAGACCUGUAUGGGUUUAAUCAACCUGCCGGAGACAGGCGCCGAAGGGAAGAAGCCGAUGUGGCACUUGAUUGGUUCUUGUCGCCCCUCAAGACCUGCGUGCUAAUGGAUCCAAGUCCAACAGAUGAUAAGCCCGUUCCCCUUCCAGCAAAGCAUAACAAAUCCUUGAUAGAAAGUCCUUGGGAAGGUUGGGAACGCAAUAAUAAGCUGGAGGGAAGACGGAAACUUUCAGAUUGCAACCCUAUCCAAACUCUGUCGGUGCAUAGCAAGGCCUUGGUUGGUACUCCCCUGAGAGGCCUGGAAAGCAAUAACCUGAAGGGAAAGCAGGAGCUUCCAGAUGACAAACUCAUCCAGACCCCAGCAGUGCAUAGCAGGGCCUUGGUUGGCACUCCCUGGAAAGGCCUGGAAAGCACCAACCUGAAGGGAAGGCACGCCGGCGAAACCACUCUCAAGAAGGAGCUCUGGGCAAGAUUCGAGGCGGUCUCGACCAACGAGCUGCACCUAGACAGGUCAGUCUUCCAGAAGCAAGAUGGGAGGAGAUUCAUCGACAUGCUCGAGGAGGCUGAAUGA